GGUUAUAGCUCAGUGGUAGAGUACCUGCCUUUUAUGCAUGAGGCCCUGCUUUGAUCCCCAGUACCA
RNAcentral lists this transfer RNA (66 nucleotides) under Marmota monax (woodchuck). RNAcentral's name for it is "tRNA.Lys". The record is from RNAcentral. Lineage: Eukaryota; Metazoa; Chordata; Mammalia; Rodentia; Sciuridae.